Molecule: ribosomal RNA, 394 nt
Filed under: uncultured bacterium
Lineage: Bacteria
Description: partial 16S ribosomal RNA
Rfam family: Bacterial small subunit ribosomal RNA
Source: RNAcentral
ACACGUAGGGGGCGAGCGUUGUUCGGAAUCAUUGGGCGUAAAGGGCGUGCAGGCGGUCCUGCAAGUCCGGCGUGAAAGACCCCGGCCCAACCGGGGGGACGCGCUGGAAACUGCAGGGCUUGAGUACAGGAGGGGAUGCCGGAAUUCCAGGUGUAGGGGUGAAAUCUGUAGAUAUCUGGAAGAACACCAAUGGCGAAGGCAGGCAUCUGGCCAUGUACUGACGCUGAGACGCGAAGGUGCGGGGAGCAAACAGGUUUAGAUACCCUGGUAGUCCGCACAGUAAACGAUGUGCACCAGGUGGCGGGGGGUCGACCCCCGGUACCGUAGCUAACGCAUUAAGUGCACCGCCUGGGGAGUAUGCUCGCAAGGGUGAAACUCAAAUGAAUCGACGGGG